This 693-nucleotide long non-coding RNA is filed under the name Dermacentor andersoni. RNAcentral describes it as "uncharacterized LOC126529213". Lineage: Eukaryota; Metazoa; Arthropoda; Arachnida; Ixodida; Ixodidae. The record is from RNAcentral.
AUGUGGCCAUUGUUUAUUGCGUUUUGAAGAGCACUCGCUUCGUCUUUCCAACAAGACGCAUAGGUUCGGCACUCCGAUUAGCAUUUAAAGUGAGCUUUCGAUAGCCUAACUUUAUCCAUUUACGCGCUGUAUAUGCGUUGUGACGCCUUUCACUAGUUUGCGACGACGCAGAGUAUAACAGCGGAGUCCCGCUGUUUACCUUUAACAUGAUAAAUGAAGCAAAACCUCGGUAGUGCAUCGUAAUUUUUUUUCUAAACAUAAUGCAGCCACCACUCGCACCGUUAAAGCAUGACUGUUAAGAAGCAUUUGCAGCAGCUCAUUUGUCACUACGUUGGAGCGAGAAUAUUGCUCAUCUGCCGCUUUACCUUUCUUUACUGCUCCGUAUUUUUGUGUAUCCGGAUAUUUUAAUUUUAUGCAAACCACCCCUUCCGUGUGAAAAAGAAAAGAAUUUAAGGAAAGGAAGAUGCAACAGUUGCAAGGAAGGUGCAACAGUUGUGUGAAAUAAAUAGUGCUUUACCAACAUCUGUAGUGACCUGGUGAUCGUGCGCCUUGGGCGAAUUCAUUUUGUGUAAAAAUGUGCUCCGGCUACUUAAAAGCUGUCGUCUUCUCGGAAGCAGGCACUGAUCCUUGGAGACCUGCAGAGCGCAAACUGCAGCAUGUAUGCCGAAAUAAACAGCUAUUGCCUAUUUCAAA